GUCCUGCCUGCCCUGUGACCAUGAGUUUAACGGCCGCGGUAUUUUAACCGUGCGAAGGUAGCGCAAUCACUUGUCCUUUAAAUGAGGACCAGUAUGAAUGGCAAGACGAGGGCUUGACUGUCUCCUCUUUCAAGUCAAUGAAAUUGAUCUCUCCGUGCAGAAGCGGGGAUACAGACAUAAGACGAGAAGACCCUGUGGAGCUUUAGACACCAAGACAAAUCACGUUAAGGGCCCCUAAAUAAAGGACUGAACUAAGUGAAAUCUUGCUCUGAUGUCUUUGGUUGGGGCGACCACGGGGAAAGAAAAAACCCCCACGUGGAAUAGGAGCACUUUCCUCCCACAGCUGAGAGCUACAACUCUAAGCAACAGAACAUCUGACCUUAAGAUCCGGCUUUUCUGCCGAUCAACGGACCCAGUUACCCCAGGGAUAACAGCGCAAUCCCCUUUUAGAGCCCAUAUCGACAAGGGGGUUUACGACCUCGAUGUUGGAUCAGGACAUCCUAAUGGUGCAGCCGCUAUUAAGGGUUCGUUUGUUCAACGAUUAAAGUCCUACGUGAUCUG
This 561-nucleotide ribosomal RNA is filed under the name Platycephalus speculator (yank flathead). RNAcentral describes it as "partial 16S ribosomal RNA". It matches the Rfam family "Bacterial large subunit ribosomal RNA", at positions 1852 to 2607 of the family's 2925-position model. Lineage: Eukaryota; Metazoa; Chordata; Actinopteri; Perciformes; Platycephalidae. The record is from RNAcentral.